RNAcentral lists this ribosomal RNA (497 nucleotides) under uncultured bacterium. RNAcentral's name for it is "partial 16S ribosomal RNA". It matches the Rfam family "Bacterial small subunit ribosomal RNA", at positions 28 to 507 of the family's 1533-position model. The record is from RNAcentral.
GAUGAACGCUGGCGGCGUGCCUAAUACAUGCAAGUCGAGCGAAAAGACGAUGAUCUUGCUCCUCUGACGUUAGCGGCGCACGGGUGUGUAACACGUGGAUAACCUACCUAUAAUACGGGUAUAACUUCGGGAAACCGGAUCUAAUACCGGAUAAUAUAUUGAACCGCAUGGUUCGAUGGUAAAUUUCGGUGUUUCUGGCACUUCUAGAUGGAUCCGCGCCGCAUUGUCUGGUUGUUAAGGUAACGGCUUAUCAAGGCGACGAUGCGUGUCCGACCUGCGGGGGUGAUCGGCCACACGGGAACUGAGACACGGUCCAGAGUCCUACGGGAGGCAGCAGUAGGGUAUCUUCCGCAAAAGGCGAAAACAUGACGGAGCAACGCCGCGUGAGAGAUGGAGGUCUUCGGAUCGUAAAACUCUGUUAUUAGGGAAGAACAAAUGUGUAAGGAAAUGUGCACGUAUUGACGGUACCUAAUCAGAAAGCCACGGCUAACUACGUG